AGUGAACGCUGGCGGUAGGCCUAACACAUGCAAGUCGAACGGCAGCACAGGAGAGCUUGCUCUCUGGGUGGCGAGUGGCGGACGGGUGAGGAAUACAUCGGAAUCUACUCUGUCGUGGGGGAUAACGUAGGGAAACUUACGCUAAUACCGCAUACGACCUACGGGUGAAAGCAGGGGACCUUCGGGCCUUGCGCGAUUGAAUGAACCGAUGUCGGAUUAGCUAGUUGGUGGGGUAAAGGCCCACCAAGGCGACGAUCCGUAGCUGGUCUGAGAGGAUGAUCAGCCACACUGGAACUGAGACACGGUCCAGACUCCUACGGGAGGCAGCAGUGGGGAAUAUUGGUCAAUGGGCGCAAGCCUGAUCCAGCCAUACCGCGUGGGUGAAGAAGGCCUUCGGGUUGUAAAGCCCUUUUGUUGGGAAAGAAAUCCAGCUGGCUAAUACCCGGUUGGGAUGACGGUACCCAAAGAAUAAGCACCGGCUAACUUCGUGCCAGCCGCCGCCGUAA
RNAcentral lists this ribosomal RNA (506 nucleotides) under uncultured bacterium. RNAcentral's name for it is "partial 16S ribosomal RNA". It matches the Rfam family "Bacterial small subunit ribosomal RNA", at positions 29 to 523 of the family's 1533-position model. The record is from RNAcentral.